This 490-nucleotide ribosomal RNA is filed under the name uncultured bacterium. RNAcentral describes it as "partial 16S ribosomal RNA". It matches the Rfam family "Bacterial small subunit ribosomal RNA", at positions 30 to 507 of the family's 1533-position model. The record is from RNAcentral.
AUUGAACGCUGGCGGCAGGCCUAACACAUGCAAGUCGAACGGUAACAGGAAGAAGCUUGCUUCUUUGCUGACGAGUGGCGGACGGGCGAGUAAUGUCUGGGAAACUGCCUGAUGGAGGGGGAUAACUACUGGAAACGGUAGCUAAUACCGCAUAACGUCGCAAGACCAAAAAGGGGGACCUUCGGGCCUCUUGCCAUCGGAUGUGCCCAGAUGGGAUUAGCUAGUAGGUGGGGUAACGGCUCACCUAGGCGACGAUCCCUAGCUGGUCUGAGAGGAUGACCAGCCACACUGGAACUGAGACACGGUCCAGACUCCUACGGGAGGCAGCAGUGGGGAAUAUUGCACAAAGGGCGCAAGCCUGAUGCAGCCAUGCCGCGUGUAUGAAGAAGGCCUUCGGGUUGUAAAGUACUUUCAGCGGGGAGGAAGGGAGUAAAGUUAAUACCUUUGCUCAUUGACGUUACCCGCAGAAGAAGCACCGGCUAACUCCGUG